AAUGCCUAUGCCCUGGGGAAGUUAACAGGAUCAUCUGUUGGCAGACAUCGUGAAUGGAGAGGAUGGGGUGCGAAGCAUUGCUGAGAAAUAACAAAGCCCUAAUUUACUUUAUAGUAGCUGCCAUGAGAGCUUAAUGCCGUUUUCCUUGGUAUCAAAAGUACUUCUGAAUGGUUAUCUCCUUCCUAACGAAGUCUCAUUCAUUUUAAUUUUUAAUUUUUUUUGCUGAAGAAGAUUCACCCUGAGCUAACAUCUGUUGCCAAUCUUCCUCUUUUUGUAUGUGAGCCGCCCCCACAGUAUGGCCACAAAUAAGUGGUAUAGGUUGGUGCCUGCCAACCAAACCCAGGCUGCCGUAGCAGAGUGUGCCAAACUUAACCACUCAGCCACCAGGGCUGGCCCUUGUUCAUUUUAAUUUUUGAGGGGGAAGGAGUGAGCAACCAAGUGGUUCACAGAAGCUGUGCCAUUCAGCAAACCACUGGAUUUAGGAACCUGAUGAUUUUGAGAUGCUAAACAUCAGUGUCUUCUGUCCCUUCAACACUCUUUCUGCUUCAUCUCUGAUUGGCUGGUCACUGGACUUGGUCUAGUGUCACUGGGAUUGUCUUUUUAAUGUAUACAAACUCCGGAGGAGGGUGAAUUAGAGGCUGCAGCCUCUGUGGAUUAGACAGGGCUUGCCCCAGAGGUCGCUUCAAUGAAGGAAUGGAACAAGUGGGCUCACCAGCCCUAUAUAGAAAGCAUACAGGUGGGAUGGGCAGUCACACAGAACCAGCCUGACCCUUAACAGAAAUUGCUUAGAGCAUGAAUGGAUCUGAGGACCUGAAUCAAGACUGGAUGGAGUGUUGUGGAGUCAGAGGUCUGGAGCAGUGCCUCAGUUCAAGGGACACUGGUGGUAAAUGCAUCCUGAGCCCAGCACUGAUUGUGUGAGGAGAUCCAUGUAGAGCAUGAACACUCACAAGUUUGUCACUCCGGGGACCCUUAGCCUCAGGUGUUGGUUGGUGGUGUACAGACUGAUGAGGAUUUUAGGCUGGUUAAUUUUAAAACUGCAGAUGAGAAGCAGGCUCCAAGGAGUGGAAU
RNAcentral lists this long non-coding RNA (1068 nucleotides) under Equus asinus (donkey). Its description in RNAcentral is "lncRNA (ENSEASG00005034732.1)". The record is from RNAcentral. Lineage: Eukaryota; Metazoa; Chordata; Mammalia; Perissodactyla; Equidae.